GGGCCAUAGCUCAGUAGUAGAGCAUCUGCCUUGCAAGCAGAAGAUCCCAGAUUCAAUCUAUGGCAUCUCCA
Podarcis lilfordi (Lilford's wall lizard) is the source of this 71-nucleotide non-coding RNA. The record is from the annotation of a GenBank genome assembly. Lineage: Eukaryota; Metazoa; Chordata; Lepidosauria; Squamata; Lacertidae.